GUUGCUUCUUAUGGUGAACCCCUUCUAUUAAAAUAGGGGAUGUUCAAGUUUCCGAAGCAUAAAUAAAUUUCUAAGCCAGUAUUAAACAGCAGUGUGCACUAAUUUUUUUGUUGCACUUUGUUACCUGUCUUCUGGUAAAUUU
This is a small nucleolar RNA of Cannabis sativa, 142 nucleotides long. RefSeq annotates it as small nucleolar RNA snoR137. Lineage: Eukaryota; Viridiplantae; Streptophyta; Magnoliopsida; Rosales; Cannabaceae. The transcript has a single exon. The record is from RefSeq and is a predicted model, not a curated record.